GGCGGACGGGUGAGUAAUGCUUGGGAAUAUGCCUUAUGGUGGGGGACAACAGUUGGAAACGACUGCUAAUACCGCAUGAUGUCUACGGACCAAAGUGGGGGACCUUCGGGCCUCACGCCAUAAGAUUAGCCCAAGUGGGAUUAGCUAGUUGGUGAGGUAAUGGCUCACCAAGGCAACGAUCCCUAGCUGGUUUGAGAGGAUGAUCAGUCACACUGGGACUGAGACACGGCCCAGACUCCUACGGGAGGCAGCAGUGGGGAAUAUUGCACAAUGGGCGCAAGCCUGAUGCAGCCAUGCCGCGUGUGUGAAGAAGGCCUUCGGGUUGUAAAGCACUUUCAGUAAGGAGGAAAGGUUAAGUGUUAAUAGCGCUUAGCUGUGACGUUACUUACAGAAGAAGCACCGGCUAACUCCGUGCCAGCAGCCGCGGUAAUACGGAGGGUGCGAGCGUUAAUCGGAAUUACUGGGCGUAAAGCGUAC
This 477-nucleotide ribosomal RNA is filed under the name uncultured Pseudoalteromonas sp. RNAcentral describes it as "bacterial SSU rRNA". It matches the Rfam family "Bacterial small subunit ribosomal RNA", at positions 97 to 570 of the family's 1533-position model. The record is from RNAcentral. Lineage: Bacteria; Pseudomonadati; Pseudomonadota; Gammaproteobacteria; Alteromonadales; Pseudoalteromonadaceae.